Molecule: ribosomal RNA, 612 nt
Filed under: uncultured bacterium
Lineage: Bacteria
Description: bacterial SSU rRNA
Rfam family: Bacterial small subunit ribosomal RNA
Source: RNAcentral
GAAAGGCGCUUUCGGGUGUCGCUGAUGGAUUGACCCGCGGUGCAUUAGCUAGUUGGUGAGGUAACGGCUCACCAAGGCGACGAUGCAUAGCCGACCUGAGAGGGUGAUCGGCCACAUUGGGACUGAGACACGGCCCAAACUCCUACGGGAGGCAGCAGUAGGGAAUCUUCGGCAAUGGACGAAAGUCUGACCGAGCAACGCCGCGUGAGUGAAGAAGGUUUUCGGAUCGUAAAACUCUGUUGUUAGAGAAGAACAAGGAUGAGAGUAACUGUUCAUCCCUUGACGGUAUCUAACCAGAAAGCCACGGCUAACUACGUGCCAGCAGCCGCGGUAAUACGUAGGUGGCAAGCGUUGUCCGGAUUUAUUGGGCGUAAAGCGAGCGCAGGCGGUUUCUUAAGUCUGAUGUGAAAGCCCCCGGCUCAACCGGGGAGGGUCAUUGGAAACUGGGAGACUUGAGUGCAGAAGAGGAGAGUGGAAUUCCAUGUGUAGCGGUGAAAUGCGUAGAUAUAUGGAGGAACACCAGUGGCGAAGGCGGCUCUCUGGUCUGUAACUGACGCUGAGGCUCGAAAGCGUGGGGAGCAAACAGGAUUAGAUACCCUGGUAGUCCACGCC